AGUGAACGCUGGCGGUAGGCCUAACACAUGCAAGUCGAACGGCAGCACAGUAAGAGCUUGCUCUUACGGGUGGCGAGUGGCGGACGGGUGAGGAAUACAUCGGAAUCUACUUUUUCGUGGGGGAUAACGUAGGGAAACUUACGCUAAUACCGCAUACGACCUACGGGUGAAAGCAGGGGAUCUUCGGACCUUGCGCGAUUGAAUGAGCCGAUGUCGGAUUAGCUAGUUGGCGGGGUAAAGGCCCACCAAGGCGACGAUCCGUAGCUGGUCUGAGAGGAUGAUCAGCCACACUGGAACUGAGACACGGUCCAGACUCCUACGGGAGGCAGCAGUGGGGAAUAUUGGACAAUGGGCGCAAGCCUGAUCCAGCCAUCCCGCGUGGGUGAAGAAGGCCUUCGGGUUGUAAAGCCCUUUUGUUGGGAAAGAAAAGCAGCAGGUUAAUACCCCGCUGUUCUGACGGUACCCAAAGAAUAAGCACGGGCUAACUUCGUG
This 492-nucleotide ribosomal RNA is filed under the name uncultured bacterium. Its description in RNAcentral is "partial 16S ribosomal RNA". It matches the Rfam family "Bacterial small subunit ribosomal RNA", at positions 29 to 507 of the family's 1533-position model. The record is from RNAcentral.